GUAAACUAAGAACGUAUGAUUAACAACAUUAAUUUUUUCUUAAGUCACUCGCAGCUGAACUGGAGAGGAGUCGACGGAAAGACUGGAGCUGAAAGAUGUCAUUUCUCGUAAGUGUUAUUGCACUGACAGAGUUUAAGUCCUUUGUCUUGGUGUAACUGAUCCAUUGUGAAUGAAUGCAGAUGAGGAACUAAUACUCUUUUAUAACUGAACUUGAAACUUUAUAUAGACAUAUGUUUUGGUAAAAGUCAGUCUUACAAUUUUUGUAUUUUAUUUUUAUUUUUAGGAACCGUCAGAAACAACAUGCUGACUGAGGCAGACACUGAUCGAGAAAUUAAGACUUUUAUCAGAAGAUGGCUCCAUUUGGCUGGAGACAGAGAUGGAGGCAGACGAAGAAGAGAAGAAAGACGGCAGCCUGUCCAACAUUCCUGUCUGGAAGACACUGUUUCUGUGGGCCCAGUUGAGACCUGGAUCAAGAUGGAGAGUACGCCGGUGCUGAGGGAAGCCUGUUGCUAUAAAGAUGUCCCAUUUUAUUUCAUUUUGUUUUUUUAAUAAAGAAUUUCUUACUAAACUUUUGAUUUUUUUUUUCUUUAUCAAAUUCUUAAACGA
Molecule: long non-coding RNA, 606 nt
Filed under: Oryzias javanicus (javanese ricefish)
Lineage: Eukaryota; Metazoa; Chordata; Actinopteri; Beloniformes; Adrianichthyidae
Description: lncRNA (ENSOJAG00000007533.1)
Source: RNAcentral